Non-coding RNA from Pelobates cultripes (western spadefoot toad), 224 nucleotides. The record is from the annotation of a GenBank genome assembly. NCBI's taxonomy places the organism in Eukaryota, Metazoa, Chordata, Amphibia, Anura, Pelobatidae.
CCCCUCUCGCCUCCAGAGUAGGCCUCAAAAGUGUCAGGUAGGAUUCCUCCUCCAGGGGACUGAAGCCUGUUGGGCCAGCCUCACCCAGGAUCCAGGGCUCUCUGCCCGCUGAGGGCCACCGUUGCCGCUUGGUUUUGUGCCAGAAAUCUGAAUUUUAUAGCUUCUUAGGCCUUGGGUUGCAGGAGCUGGUCUCACUUGCGUCCAUCCAGCUGGGCGGUCAGGCC